GUUAAAAGGAAGAGUUAGCUUCGGCGAAGCCCUGAAUUGAAGCCCCAGUAAACGGCGGCCGUAACUAUAACGGUCCUAAGGUAGCGAAAUUCCUUGUCGGGUAAGUUCCGACCCGCACGAAAGGCGUAACGAUCUGGCACUGUCUCAACGAGAGACUCGGUGAAAUUGAAUUGCCUGUGAAGAUGCAGGCUACCCGCGACAGGACGGAAAGACCCCAUGGAGCUUUACUGUAGCUUGAUAUUGAGUGCUUGUACUGCUUGUACAGGAUAGGUAGGAGCCAUAGAAGCCAGGACGCUAGUUUUGGCAGAGGCGUUGGUGGGAUACUACCCUUGCAUUAUGAUCACUCUAACCCGCACCACUGAUCGUGGUGGGAGACAGUGUCAGGURGGCAGUUUGACUGGGGCGGUCGCCUCCCAAAAGAUAACGGAGGCGCCCAAAGGUUCGCUCAGAAUGGUUGGAAAUCAUUCGCAGAGUGUAAAGGCACAAGCGAGCUUGACUGCGAGACAGACAGGUCGAGCAGGGACGAAAGUCGGGCUUAGUGAUCCGGUGGUUCCGCAUGGAAGGGCCAUCGCUCAACGGAUAAAAGCUACCCUGGGAUAACAGGCUUAUCUCCCCAAGAGUCCACAUCGACGGGGAGGUUUGGCACCUCGAUGUCGGCUCAUCGCAUCCUGGGGCUGUAGUCGGUCCCAAGGGUUGGGCUGUUCGCCCAUUAAAGCGGUACGCGAGCUGGGUUCAGAACGUCGUGAGACAGUUCGGUCCCUAUCCGUCGCGGGCGUAGGAAAUUUGAGAGGACCUGUCCUUAGUACGAGAGGACCGGGAUGGACAUACCGCUGGUGUACCAGUUGUUCCGCCAGGAGCAUCGCUGGGUAGCUAUGUAUGGAUGAGAUAAACGCUGAAAGCAUCUAAGCGUGAAACUCGCCUCAAGAUGAGAUUUCCCAUUCCUUAUGGAAGUAAGACCCCUCAGAGAUGAUGAGGUAGAUAGGAUGGAAGUGGAAGUGCCGCGAGGCAUGGAGCGGACCAUUACUAAUCGGUCGAGGACUUAACCAAGUU
RNAcentral lists this ribosomal RNA (1050 nucleotides) under Limosilactobacillus mucosae. RNAcentral's name for it is "bacterial LSU rRNA". It matches the Rfam family "Bacterial large subunit ribosomal RNA", at positions 1876 to 2925 of the family's 2925-position model. Lineage: Bacteria; Bacillati; Bacillota; Bacilli; Lactobacillales; Lactobacillaceae. The record is from RNAcentral.